RNAcentral lists this ribosomal RNA (520 nucleotides) under uncultured Glomus. RNAcentral's name for it is "SSU rRNA". It matches the Rfam family "Eukaryotic small subunit ribosomal RNA", at positions 569 to 1094 of the family's 1831-position model. Lineage: Eukaryota; Fungi; Glomeromycota; Glomeromycetes; Glomerales; Glomeraceae. The record is from RNAcentral.
AGCAGCCGCGGUAAUUCCAGCUCCAAUAGCGUAUAUUAAAGUUGUUGCAGUUAAAAAGCUCGUAGUUGAAUUUCGGGAUUAAUAUGUUGGUCGUGCCUUGGUACGUACUAAUUUAUUGGUUUCUUCCUUCUGACGAACCAUGAUGUCAUUAAUUUGGUGUCUUGGGGAAUCAGGACUGUUACUUUGAAAAAAUUAGAGUGUUUAAAGCGGGCUCACGCUUGAAUACAUUAGCAUGGAAUAAUGAAAUAGGAUGUUUGAUUCUAUUUUGUUGGUUUCUAGGAUCGACGUAAUGAUUAAUAGGGAUAGUUGGGGGUAUUAGUAUUCAAUUGUCAGAGGUGAAAUUCUUGGAUUUAUUGAAGACUAACUACUGCGAAAGCAAUUUGCCAAGGAUGUUUCAUUAAUCAAGAACGAAAGUUAGGGGAAUCGAAGACGAUCAGAUACCGUCGUAGUCUUAACCAUAAACUAUGCCGACUAGGGAUCGGAUGAUGUAAUUUUUAAUGACUCAUUCGGCGCUUACGGG